UGAAGACUGGAAUUGCUGGUAAUGGCAGGUCAGCAUACUGCCGUGAAUACAUUCCCGGGCCUUGUACACACCGCCCGUCACACCAUGAGAGUUGGAAAUACCCGAAGCCUGUGAGCUAACAGUAAUGAGGCAGCAGUCGAAGGUAGAGCCAAUGAUUGGGGUGAAGUCGUAACAAGGUAAC
This 181-nucleotide ribosomal RNA is filed under the name uncultured bacterium. RNAcentral's name for it is "partial 16S ribosomal RNA". It matches the Rfam family "Bacterial small subunit ribosomal RNA", at positions 1321 to 1500 of the family's 1533-position model. The record is from RNAcentral.